Molecule: ribosomal RNA, 2410 nt
Filed under: bovine gut metagenome
Description: bacterial LSU rRNA
Rfam family: Bacterial large subunit ribosomal RNA
Source: RNAcentral
UUAAGCUACUAAGAGCAUAGGGUGAAUGCCUUGGCACCAAGAGCCGAAGAAGGACGUGAUAAGCUGCGAAAAGCUAUGGGGAGGAGCAAAUAUCCUUUGAUCCAUAGAUAUCCGAAUGAGGGAACUCAGCUGGUGGAAAAAGACCAGUUAUCCAUACAUGAGUAAAGUAGUGUAUGUGAGGGGAACGUGGGGAACUGAAACAUCUAAGUACCCACAGGAAAAGAAAGAAAACUCGAUUCCUUGAGUAGUGGCGAGCGAAAGAGGAAGAGCCUAAACCAGAAGAAGUAAUUCAUCUGGGGUUAUGGACUACAUAAUUGAUUCAAGAGAUUUAGCAGAAUUGUUUGGGAAAGCAAACCAAAGAUAGUGAAAGUCUAGUAUGCGAAAAAUCAAUUGACAUGGUAGUAUCCAGAGUAGUGCGAGACACGGGAAAUCUCGUAUGAAUAUGGGGGGACCACCCCCUAAGGCUAAAUACUACUUGGUGACCGAUAGUGCAGUAGUACCGUGAGGGAAAGGUGAAAAGAACCCCGGGAGGGGAGUGAAAGAGAACCUGAAACCCUGUGUUUACAAGCAGAGAAAGCACGUUAAUGUGCGAUCUCGUACUUUUUGUAGAACGGUCCGGCGAGUUAUUUUAUAUGGCAAGGUUAAGUACUUAAGGUACGAAGCCGAAGAGAAAUCGAGUCUGAAUAGGGCGAUUAAGUCAUAUGAAAUAGACCCGAAACCGGGUGACCUAUCCAUGGUCAGGAUGAAGCUUGAGUAAAAUCAAGUGGAGGACCGAACCCAUAAGCGUUAAAAAGCUUCGGGAUGAACUGUGGAUAGCGGAGAAAUUCCAAUCGAACUCGGAGAUAGCUGGUUCUCCUCGAAAUAGUUUUAGGACUAGCCUUGUUUAGUAGCAUGUGGGGGUAGAGCACUGAAGGAGCUAGGGGCCAAACCAGGUUACCGAACUCUAUCAAACUCCGAAUACCAUGUGUGUAAGAACAGGAGUCAGACUGCGGGAGCUAAGUUCCGUGGUCAAAAGGGAAAGAGCCCAGAUCGUCAAUUAAGGUCCCAAAGAUAUAGUUAAGUGGAAAACGAUGUGAUUUUGCGUAAACAACCAGGAUGUUGGCUUAGAAGCAGCCAUUCAUUUAAAGAGUGCGUAAUAGCUCACUGGUCGAGUGAAGUUGCGCGGAAAAUUACCGGGGCUAAACUAUACACCGAAAUUGCGGGUUUAUACGUAAGUAUAAGCGGUAGAGGAGCAUUCUGUUGUAGGACGAAGGUAGACCGAAAGGACUGCUGGACGAAGCAGAAGAGAGAAUGCCGGAAUAAGUAGCGAGAGCAAGGUGAGAAUCCUUGCCGUCGAAAGUCUAAGGUUUCCUGGGGAAGGUUCGUCCGCCCAGGGUAAGUCGGGACCUAAGGUGAGGCCGAAAGGCGUAGCCGAUGGACAGCAGGUAGAAAUUCCUGCACCACCGAUAUACUUAAAAAAUGCAAGGGACACAGGAGUGGAAGAGAAGCGAGGAAGAGGAAAAACUCGUAUCGAAAGAUAUAGUGAAAAUAAAGUAACGAAUUCUCAAGAAGCACACUGGCGAGAAAAGCUUGUAGGUAUUGUAUAUAGGUACCCGUACCGCAAACCGACACAGGUAGAUGAGGAGAGGAUCCUAAGACGAGCGAGAGAAGCAUUGUUAAGGAACUCGGCAAAUUGACCCCGUAACUUAGGGAGAAGGGGUACCAGUGUAACAGCUGGUCGCAGAGAAUAGGCCCAAGCAACUGUUUAACAAAAACACAGGUUUCUGCUAAAUCGAAAGAUGAAGUAUAGGAGCUGACGCCUGCCCAGUGCUGGAAGGUUAAGGGGAAAGGUUAUGCCUUAAGGCGAAGCUUUGAACCAAAGCCCCAGUGAACGGCGGCCGUAACUAUAACGGUCCUAAGGUAGCGAAAUUCCUUGUCAGGNNGAAGAUGCUAGUUACCUGCGACAAGACAGAAAGACCCCAUGGAGCUUUACUGUAGCUUGAUACUGGGUUUCGAUAAUUUAUGUACAGGAUAGGUGGGAGACUAUGAAGCAUAGGCGUCAGCUUAUGUGGAGUCAACCUUGGGAUACCACCCUUAAGUUAUUGGAAUUCUAACCAUUAGUCGUAAACCGGCUAGGGGACAAUGUCAGGUGGGCAGUUUGACUGGGGCGGUCGCCUCCAAAAGAGUAACGGAGGCGCGCAAAGGUUUCCUCAGCACGGACAGAAAUCGCGCGAAAGAGUGCAAAGGCAGAAGGAAGCUUAACUGAAAGACAGACAUGUCGAGCAGAUACGAAAGUAGGUCUUAGUGAUCCGGCGGUAGUGAGUGGAAAUGCCGUCGCUCAACGGACAAAAGUUACCCUGGGGAUAACAGGCUUAUCUCCCCCAAGAGUUCACAUCGACGGGGAGGUUUGGCACCUCGAUGUCGGCUCAUC